CAGCUAGGAUGUUGGCUUGGAAGCAGCCAUUCAUUUAAAGAGUGCGUAACAGCUCACUAGUCGAGUGCUUUGGCGUGGAUAAUAAUCGGGCAUAAGCUAUUUACCGAAGCUGUGGGAUGUGUAAACAUCGGUAGGGGAGCAUUCUAGCGACGCUGAAGGUGAGAGGACAACUCUUGCUGGAGUUUCUAGAAAAGCAAAUGUAGGUAUAAGUAACGAUAAAGGAGGUGAGAAACCUCCUCGCCGAAAGACUAAGGUUUCCUGAUCAACGCUAAUCGGAUCAGGGUUAGUCGGGGCCUAAGGGGCAGCCGAACGGCGGACCCGAUGGAAGAACCGGUUAAUAUUCCGGUACUAAUUAUGUGAGCGAUGUGGAGACGGAGAUGUGACGGUCCUGCCACCUGACGGAAUAGGUGGUUGAAGGGUGUAGGAGUUGAUCUGAGUAGGCAAAUCCGCUCGGAGAUCCGAACCUGACAGUACUCUGAGUGCUUGCACAAGGAGAUAUGGACAACUGUAACGGUGCUCCCAAGAAAAUCCGCUAAGCAUAUUGCAUGAUUACCCGUACCAUAAACCGACACAGGUGGUUGGGUUGAGUAUACUAAGGCGCUCGAGUGAUUCGCGGUUAAGGAACUAGGCAAAAUAGUCCUGUAACUUCGGAAUAAAGGACGCUCACAGUGAAGGCUGUGAGCCGCAGAGAAUAGGCCCAGGCGACUGUUUAACAAAAACACAUGGCUAUGCUAAAUCGAAAGAUACUGUAUAUAGCCUGACACCUGCCCGGUGCUGGAAGGUUAAGAGGAGAUGUCAUCGCAAGAGAAGCAUUGAAUUGAAGCCCCAGUAAACGGCGGCCGUAACUAUAACGGUCCUAAGGUAGCGAAAUUCCUUGUCGGGUAAGUUCCGACCUGCACGAAUGGUGUAAUGAUCUGGACACUGUCUCAACCAUGAUCUCAGUGAAAUUGUAGUAUCGGUGAAGAUGCCGAUUACCCGCGAUGGGACGAAAAGACCCCGUGAACCUUUACUACAGCUUAGCAUUGACCUUGGUCAUCCGAUGUGUAGGAUAGGCCGGAGGCUUUGAAGCAUGCACGCCAGUGUGUGUGGAGCCAUCCUUGAAAUACGGCCCUUUGGCUGUCUGAGGUCUAACACGUAAUUUCGUGGACAUUGUUUGGUGGGUAGUUUGACUGGGGUGGUCGCCUCCAAAAGCGUAACGGAGGCUUCCAAAGGUGCCCUCGGGCCGAUUGGUAACCGGCCUUAUAGAGUGCAAUGGCAUAAGGGCGCUUGACUGGGAGGCAGACAUGCCGAGCAGGCAGGAAACUGGGGCAUAGUGAUCCGGCGGAUGUGUAUGGAAACUCCGUCGCUCAAAGGAUAAAAGGUACUCCGGGGAUAACAGGCUGAUCCCCCCCAAGAGCUCAUAUCGACGGGGUGGUUUGGCACCUCGAUGUCGGCUCGUCACAUCCUGGGGCUGGAGAAGGUCCCAAGGGUUGGGCUGUUCGCCCAUUAAAGUGGCACGCGAGCUGGGUUCAGAACGUCGUGAGACAGUUCGGUCUCUAUCUGUUGUGGGCGUUUGAGAUUUGAGGGGGCCUGACACUAGUACGAGAGGACCGUGUUGGACGAACCGCUGGUUUAUCGGUUAUGCCGCCAGGCGUAUUGCCGAGUAGCUACGUUCGGUUGAGAUAAGUGCUGAAAGCAUCUAAGUACGAAGCUUGCCUCAAGAUUAGAUCUCAUUAAGGGUGGUUAUAGACGAUGACCUUGAUAGGCUACAGGUGUAAAGGCGGUGACGUCAUAGCCGAGUAGUACUAAUUGCCCGAAAGUUUUUGCC
This 1807-nucleotide ribosomal RNA is filed under the name human metagenome. RNAcentral's name for it is "bacterial LSU rRNA". It matches the Rfam family "Bacterial large subunit ribosomal RNA", at positions 1090 to 2925 of the family's 2925-position model. The record is from RNAcentral.